Molecule: ribosomal RNA, 429 nt
Filed under: Actinomycetes bacterium
Lineage: Bacteria; Bacillati; Actinomycetota; Actinomycetes
Description: Actinobacteria bacterium partial 16S ribosomal RNA
Rfam family: Bacterial small subunit ribosomal RNA
Source: RNAcentral
UAGGGAAUCUUCCGCAAUGGGCGAAAGCCUGACGGAGCAACGCCGCGUGAGUGAUGAAGGUCUUCGGAUCGUAAAACUCUGUUAUUAGGGAAGAACAAAUGUGUAAGUAACUAUGCACGUCUUGACGGUACCUAAUCAGAAAGCCACGGCUAACUACGUGCCAGCAGCCGCGGUAAUACGUAGGUGGCAAGCGUUAUCCGGAAUUAUUGGGCGUAAAGCGCGCGUAGGCGGUUUUUUAAGUCUGAUGUGAAAGCCCACGGCUCAACCGUGGAGGGUCAUUGGAAACUGGAAAACUUGAGUGCAGAAGAGGAAAGUGGAAUUCCAGGUGUAGCGGUGAAAUGCGCAGAGAUAUGGAGGAACACCAGUGGCGAAGGCGACUUUCUGGUCUGUAACGGACGCUGAUGUGCGAAAGCGUGGGGAUCAAACAGG